CCUACGGGAGGCAGCAGUGGGGAAUAUUGCACAAUGGGGGAAACCCUGAUGCAGCGACGCCGCGUGAGUGAAGAAGUAUUUCGGUAUGUAAAGCUCUAUCAGCAGGGAAGAAAAUGACGGUACCUGAUUAAGAAGCCCCGGCUAACUACGUUCCAGCCGCCGCGGUCAUACGUAGGGGGCAAGCGUUAUCCGGAUUUACUGGGUGUAAAGGGAGCGUAGACGGCAGCACAAGUCUGGAGUGAAAUGCCGGGGCUUAACCCCGGAACUGCUUUGGAAACUGUGCAGCUAGAGUGCAGGAGAGGUAAGCGGAAGUCCUAGUGUAGCGGUGAAAUGCGUAGAUAUUAGGAGGAACACCAGUGGCGAAGGCGGCUUACUGGACUGUAACUGACGUUGAGGCUCGAAAGCGUGGGGAGCAAACAGGAUUAGAUACCCCAGUAGUC
This 440-nucleotide ribosomal RNA is filed under the name uncultured bacterium. Its description in RNAcentral is "partial 16S ribosomal RNA". It matches the Rfam family "Bacterial small subunit ribosomal RNA", at positions 338 to 795 of the family's 1533-position model. The record is from RNAcentral.